UACGUAGGGGGCAAGCGUUGUCCGGAAUCAUUGGGCGUAAAGAGCGUGUAGGCGGCUCGGUAAGUCUGCUGUGAAAGUCCAGGGCUCAACCCUGGAAGGCCGGUGGAAACUGUCGGGCUAGAGUCCGGAAGAGGAGAGUGGAAUUCCCGGUGUAGCGGUGAAAUGCGCAGAUAUCGGGAGGAACACCAAUGGCGAAGGCAGCUCGCUGGGACGGUACUGACGCUGAGACGCGAAAGCGUGGGGAGCAAACAGG
RNAcentral lists this ribosomal RNA (253 nucleotides) under uncultured bacterium. Its description in RNAcentral is "partial 16S ribosomal RNA". It matches the Rfam family "Bacterial small subunit ribosomal RNA", at positions 524 to 776 of the family's 1533-position model. The record is from RNAcentral.